AUGGCGUCAAGUUCAUUGCAUGCCUUUGACUCCAACCAACAAGGGUACCAUGGUCAAACUAUUCAUCAUGGCGGUGCUGAAUGGAGACCUUUACCCACUAGCAUGCCUGUUGACAACUUCCAAAAUUUAGAUGCCAAAAGCCCUGUUUUCCCCCAGUACGACCAUGAUUCUCAUCCACGUUCCUAAACUUUGUCCGACUAGAUGAAAUUAUAUGUAUGAAAGUUUAGUCGUUGCAUAUGAAUAUAGAAACUCAAUUAAUGCAAUGCUUAAUGCUGAUGUUGGUGGUGAGGAUGAUGAUGAAAUCCGUAUAAAUCAAGAUUGGACGAAUGUUAAAAUUCUUAUAGAUUUUUUAGAACAUUUUCAAAUUGCUACUAAUGUAUUUUCUCGGCAAUAUUAUCCAACUAUUUAAUUGUGUAGUUUAUAUUGCAGCACUAUGUGAUUUGUUUGUUAAAAUUUUCGGAGGGUGGGGAAAUUUAUCAACUUGCUAUAAAUACAAUGAAGGAAAAGUUUAAAAAAUAUUUUUUCCAUAUUUCCCCUAUUUAUGGUGUUGUUGCAAUGUUAAACCCUACAAUAAAAUUAGGAGGUCCUCAUUUUUGGUACUUAAAUAUUUAUAAGAGUUUAGAUCUUUCACAUGAGGAAUUUGCUACACUAGGAGAUGCAAAAGCCUCAAGUAACAUAAAUGCUCAAACAAUCUAUAAUGCUUAUCAACUUGCCUUAUAUCAUGCUAGCCCAAAUGUUUCAACCCCGACUUCGUCCAGUACACAAUCGUCUAAAAGGGUUGCGAGCCAAAAAAAUACUUAAAUCUUGGACGGCGUUCAGGGUUCUCAAGGUGAUAAUUUUGAUGAGACUUCACAUCUAAACGAGCUUGAAGUUUAUUUGUCGCAUGGACUUGAAAAGGAGAAUCCAGACGGCGCCUUUGAUCUUUUGGAAUGGUGGAAGGCAAGGGAAAAAACAUUUUCCGGUUAUUGCAAGGAUGACUCGGGAUAUUUUAUCUAUUCAAUCUUCGACGAUUGCAUAAGAGAACGCUUUUAGUCAAGCAAGACUUCAAAUAGGUGAUCAUAGAGCGUCUUUGAGGGAGAGCUUGGAAAAAUCAGUACUGUUCAGAGAUUGGAUCCGCGCAGAAAGAAGAAACUUUGGACUUGCAGAAUCACAAUCGUAGAUAGAUGAAGCUUAUGAAGAAAUGAUAGCGGAAUUUGUGGAGGAUGCGCUUCGCCCAGAAGCGGUGAUGAACAAGCUUCUUUUCCGCCACCACCAACGGAACCUCCUCCGAAUCUUGAAGUAUUUAUGAGAUUUGUUAGAGAUACAAUGUAGAUUAUGACAUAACUUGUACUUUGGCACAUCUUCUUUUGGUUUUUUCCUUUUAAUGGUGGUAUUAGCGCCUUGUUGUGCUUAUUCUAUUGGGGGGAAGAAGACUAAGAAAGAUAUGACAUUUUUGGUAAUAAAAAUUAUAAGACAUUUAUUUGAAUAUCUCUUUGCAAUAUUUUUUUGUCUUUAACUUGCAAUUCUUUAUAAGUUAUAAUAUAUAUACUAACAUACUAUAUAUACUAUCACACACACACACACACACACAUAUAUAUAUGUUAGAAUAUAUAUAUAUAUAUAUACAUAGCUAUAUAUGAGCAAUUUAUACUAAUAUAUAUAUAGUUUACAAGAAAGUGCCUUAGAUAAAAAAAAUUAAAAAAAUAGUCUGGAACGAAAAAAGUCCGUUAGGCCCACGAGCCCUACCCAUUCAGCACGGGACCAUGUGGGCUUAGGACCACAUGGACCGGUUCCAACCAUUGAAACCGUGAAGAUCGGGAUCGUUUGGCCCGCCCCGCAAAGCCCGACCCGCUUAAAGUCCGAGACCGCUAGGACCAGCCCGUUUUAAGCCUGUUUGGCCCGGCUCAGAAUGCAGCUUUAUUUUAAGUGGCCAGGAAUUACGCAUUUAGAGGACAUAUAAAACUUAAUAGACCAUUUGAAAAUUUGAGUUAAGAGUUAGACAAAAGUGCAAGGUUUAUAGAAGUACAAGGACUUAAAAUACAAUAAACGGUAGUUGCAAUCGUAACAUCACGAGUAAGCGUGACGCAUGUGAUAGAUACUUCACAUAUCUCUUUAUGUUGACGAAAUUACCCCUACACAAAACUUUCACUUCGCGGAGCAAACCAAUAGAAUCCAUGAACAGAAACAAAAAUUAUGUCCAAAUGGUACAACAUGUCAAGCUGCAAAGUACCAUCAGUUAAGACUUCAUCAUGGUCAAAAGGGCAUUUCAAUUCCCUACCCUUACAAACCUCUCCAUUGACUCUCCAAGUAGUAGUGAUGUAGAAAAAUCUCUCACCCAAAUCUCCGCAUACUUCAUAUGCUGUCGUUUCGCCGCCGUUAUUACACCGUCGUUCGGUUCCUCUCCGGUGACUUUUCGAUGGUACCGAUUUUUACUUAACAAGUAUGAACAAUUUCAACAAGAUGUAUUUUUUCUGAUUAUUUUGUUGUGAAUUAUUUUGAUCGAGGGCUUAGAUUAUUCUCUUUCGGUUAAAUUUGAUGUGUUCUGAUUCACCGAUUUUUUGUUUUGGAUUUGGUUUGAUUGAACUGGAAAAAUAGGUUUUCUGAAUUACUUUCAGUGGUAGUUAUUGAUGUUGUAGCUUUACGAGCUGGAUCCUGAGCUUCGAGCUUGAUCUUAGGUCUGAAAGCCCUUGGUUGGGCCGAGUUUUUGAAUUGUUUGUUCCGCCCCUGCCCAUGUGUACUCCCAAUAACUUCAGAUAUUUGGCAUAAUAUGAAAUCCGUCAAGAGACUAAUUUUGUGACAUUUACAAGUGUGAAAGAUUCAAACUUUACUGAAUUAUCUGAAGUAUUUGUAUUCUGAUUUAUAGGUCUGUACUCUGUAGAAAAUGAAGAGAACCUAUAGCAUUAGAAAAUCCCGAUUGUUGAAUAUUGGAAUGAGAAUCCUCCAAAUGAAGGGAAAUGAAUAGUCAGGAUUAGACUCUAAACAGCUUGGACUUGUAAAGUUGUUGUGGUUGUUGUUUUGUAGUAUUUUUAUUAUGAUUUGUGAUUAAUUGAAUAGAGGUAUUUUUACCCCACCUGUUGGGAUCAAACUGGGUUUGUUGUUGUUGAUUAAUUGAAUAGAUGUUGCUUUUCCUUUAGAAUGCUGGACUCAUCUCUUAAGGCCAUUGGUGUACUUAGGACAUCAGUCCUGUCAAGCCUUAUUUUACUAAUGUUAAUCUUCAGAAAUCAAACUCCUGCUGCCAGACUUCACAGGCCAACAUAGUAUGAAGCGAUUAAGGAGAAUCACUUAGGACUGUUGAGAUCACUGCUUAACUAUGUUUUUUACAUUACUUAGGACAUGGAUCAUGUCAAGUUUUUUUCUAAACUUUUCUCGCUAAACUUGCUCUGAUAAAGCAUUGAUUACUGUGACUUGCAGCUUCUGUUCCUUUACCCAACUGCAAGAUCAAGGUAUGUCUAUAGAAGUUCUGGAGGGACAUAUGAAUAAGAAAUUAGUUGCUGCUUUCUGUCAUUACAAUGAUCAGCUGUUAGCAUGUGAUCAUGAUACACCUGUAAAAAGUUUAGUAAGUGUGACUAAAUAAGAAAUUGGUUAUAUCUCAUUUCUAUUUGGAACAGUCUCCUUAGGCUGUGAAUUUGGGAAUUGUUUCAAAUGGAUAGAAAUGUUGGAAAAGGUAUGAUGGGAGAGAAGAACUAUGAACAAGGUCGCUAUAGCUCUGUAGAGACCAGAAAUGACGUCAUUGGUUCUACAAAUGAGAGAUUUUUCCAGGAUCCAUCAAGUUCUAUUAAUACGAACAUAAGACCACCUGAUUUCGCUGUACCUGUUGGAGCUAGGCCUGUACUGAAUUAUUCUAUUCAGACUGGUGAGGAGUUUGCUCUAGAAUUCAUGCGGGAAAGGGUUAACCCUAAGCAGCAUCUCGUUCCGCAUGCUUCUGGUGGGACUACUGGUGCAACUUCUUAUAUGGACCUGAAGGACAUACUUGGAAUAUCUCAUACAGGUUCUGAAACCGGAUCAGAUAUCUCCGUGAUUGCCUCAAUAGAAAAAGGUCGAGAUAAAAAUCACGAGAGGGCUAGGACUUCAGUAAAUGAUGAGAAAUCCUACCACCAAGUUGUGCAAUCUGUGCCCAGAACCUCAUCAAGAAAUAACAACAUCCGUGGGUUUCAAAGCCAUGUAUCUUCUAGGUCUAGUACAUCAGGAAAGCUAAGGUGUCUCUGCAGUUUUGGUGGUAGGAUUAUGCCUCGACCAAGUGAUGGGAAACUUAGAUAUGUUGGAGGUGAUACACAUCUUAUUCGAGUCAACAAGGAUGUUUCUUAUGAGGAGCUUAUGCAAAAGAUGUUGACAAUAUAUAAUCGAGCUCAUACCAUAAAAUAUCAGCUUCCUGGUGAGGAUCUUGAUGCAUUGGUAUCAGUUUCUUGUGAUGAGGACGUGCAGAAUAUGAUAGAGGAAUGUAAUGGUCUAGAAGGUGAUGGAUCACAGAAGCUGCGGAUUUUUCUCUUCUCUAACAGUGACUUGGAUGAUGCUCAAGCUGGUCUUGAGAAUGUUGAAGGAGAUUCAGAGAUGCAGUAUGUUGUUGCUGUGCGGAUUUUUCUCUUCUCUACCAGUGACUUGGAUGAUGCUCAAGCUGGUCUUGAGAAUGUUGAAGGAGAUUCAGAGAUGCAGUAUGUUGUUGCUGUCAAUGGCAUGGACUUCGGGUCUAGAAGAAACUCAAUUGCUCUGGCGAGUGCUUCAGGAAAUAAUCUGGAUGAGUUUCUUCACUUAACAAUUGCUCGUGAGAAUAGUCGAGUUGCUGCUGUUGCUUCUUGUUCACUGGGUGGUGUGCCUCUAGCUGGUCAAUCUGCUCAUGUGAUGGCGUCAAGUUCAUUGCAUGCCUUUGACUCCAACCAACAAGGGUACCAUGGUCAAACUAUUCAUCAUGGCGGUGCUGAAUGGAGACCUUUACCCACUAGCAUGCCUGUUGACAACUUCCAAAAUUUAGAUGCCAAAAGCCCUGUUUUCCCCCAGUACGACCAUGAUUCUCAUCCACCCAACUCCAUGCCUGUUGACAACCUCCAAAAUUUAGAUGCCAAAAGCCCUGUUUUCCCCCAGUACGACCAUGAUUCUCAUCCACCCAGCUCCUCACAACUCACAGAUAACUUUGUUGUUAGUACAAGCCGUGG
Molecule: long non-coding RNA, 5126 nt
Filed under: Nicotiana benthamiana
Lineage: Eukaryota; Viridiplantae; Streptophyta; Magnoliopsida; Solanales; Solanaceae
Description: long non-coding RNA (NBEN_LNC009870)
Source: RNAcentral